Molecule: ribosomal RNA, 468 nt
Filed under: uncultured bacterium
Lineage: Bacteria
Description: partial 16S ribosomal RNA
Rfam family: Bacterial small subunit ribosomal RNA
Source: RNAcentral
GACGAACGCUGGCGGCGUGCUUAACACAUGCAAGUCGAACGGAAAGGCCCUGCUUUUGUGGGGUGCUCGAGUGGCGAACGGGUGAGUAACACGUGAGUAACCUGCCCUUGACUUUGGGAUAACUUCAGGAAACUGGGGCUAAUACCGGAUAGGAGCUCCUGCUGCAUGGUGGGGGUUGGAAAGUUUCGGCGGUUGGGGAUGGACUCGCGGCUUAUCAGCUUGUUGGUGGGGUAGUGGCUUACCAAGGCUUUGACGGGUAGCCGGCCUGAGAGGGUGGCCGGCCACAUUGGGACUAAGAUACGGCCCAGACUCCUACGGGAGGCAGCAGUGGGGAGUAUUGCACAAUGGGCGGAAGCCUGAUGCAGCAACGCCGCGUGCGGGAUGACGGCCUUCGGGUUGUAAACCGCUUUCGCCUGUGACGAAGCGUGAGUGACGGUAAUGGGUAAAGAAGCACCGGCUAACUACGUG